This 1800-nucleotide unclassified non-coding RNA is filed under the name Penaeus japonicus. RNAcentral's name for it is "zinc finger protein 629-like, transcript variant X2". The record is from RNAcentral. Lineage: Eukaryota; Metazoa; Arthropoda; Malacostraca; Decapoda; Penaeidae.
AUUUUCUUGUAUACUGAAGACCGUUUGAUUGAUGACACUGCUCCAUGUGCGGUUGAUUAAGAAAUAUGAAUGAUUCAAUUGAGAAACAGUGGAGUGAUAACAUCAAAAUAUUCAAAAAGGAUUUCAUUAAGCCAAACCCAAUUCAAAAUGACGGAUGGAAUGCUCUCUCUGUGGUGGAAUAACCACAGCACCACCUUCUGCCAUAUGCUCUCAGCACUUAGACACAAGGACAGAUACACAGACGCUACAGUGGCCUGCGAAGGCAAAUUCUACCCAGUGCACAAACUCGUCCUCUCCACCUGCAGCCAAUAUUUUGAGGAUAUGUUUGACCACACACUUGGGAAACAUCCCAUUGUUCUACUGCAGGAUGUCAAAUGUGAUGAACUAGAGGCACUUCUGAGUUACAUGUAUGUGGGUGUAGUGAGUGUUGCACAAAAGGACCUCCCUCGCUUAAUCAAGGUAGCUGAACUGCUGCAGAUUAAAGGCUUGGCUGUACCAGAUGAAGCACCGGGAGACAAGAAUACACCAUCAAGUUCCAGCGGCAGAAGUGCCAGGAGAAGCCCCCUGUCCAGAGGGUCAGUCGAUUCUCUUGACGACAGAGGGAGUCCACACCCGAAGAGAAGGAAACAAAAUGACAUUGGCUCUCCAUCUCCCAGGGAACCUUUUGAAAACCACAAUGCACACUCACCCAGGUUAUCCUUACAUUCCAAAGACAGUGAUGAAAGUUUAGAUUAUAACACAUCAGGUGACAGAUCUAGGAGAGAGGUGUAUCCAGAGCAAGCAAGAGGCAGCGAGUCUCAGACAGAAGCUCUCCAUCACAGAAGACUUGCAACCUGUAACUCAGUGCCUGAGGAGUCGAACAUGCUUUCUGGUGUCAACUUAAAUAAACAUCCAGCCUCAGGGAAUACCUCAAAGGAGACAAGUGAAGAUGCUAUAGUUAUUAAAGAAGAGGUAUGGGAAGAUCCUGAACUAAGUCACAAUAACUCUGCAGAUCCAGGUGUCACUUACAAUUCAGCCCUAGACAAUUCAGGCCCAGACAGUCAUGAUGAAGUUCAAAAAGAGGACAUGGGUAUGCCUAAGGAAUUCAAUCCUCCAGGAGAUCCAGCUCAGGGAUCUCAGGAACUGCCAGAGGUGGUCGAAGAGGCAUUGGCAGGUCCAUCAGGCAUGCAGGAGUGGCUCGGCAGCAACGACUUUGCAGCAGGCUUAGCGUCAGUCGAGAACUUCAGCAUAGAUGGAAGUCCACCUGUCUCGGAGCAUCCGCAGCCACUACAGAUAGGUGCACUGGAGGCUGGGAUUGAGGGAGGCAGAGGGGCCAGACCUCCGAGGUCCAGGAUGAGAGCCUAUAGCAGCAGCGCCAAGCAACACAAGUGUCCAUAUUGUGCCUAUUCCACUGAUAGGAAAAACCACUUGGUUGACCACAUUUGCACUCAUACCGGCGAGAGGCCCCAUUCCUGCCCCUACUGUCCUGCCAGUUUCAUACAGAGAGGAACUCUAAACAACCACAUUCGCGUCCACACUGGGGAAAAGCCCUACAAAUGUCCUGUUUGCUCUCAGGGAUUCACACAGAAAACCAAUAUGAGGAGCCAUAAAUGUGUCCAUAGGGUUUAGUGCACCUGUUGUGAUCAGAACUUCAUUUUCAUAUUUGUAAUUAGAACAAGGCAAGAGAGGAGAGUCAGAAGUGUGAUAAGGGAGCCACAGGAGCCAAGACUGGCAUCAUAUCCAGCAGCAAGUUCCACCAGUGCCCCUACUGUGCUUACGACACGCCAAGGAAAGACCACCUGGUCAUGCACAUUCGCACCC